Molecule: long non-coding RNA, 5548 nt
Organism: Alexandromys fortis (reed vole)
Lineage: Eukaryota; Metazoa; Chordata; Mammalia; Rodentia; Cricetidae
Exons: 7
Source: RefSeq, a predicted model, not a curated record
CUCUCUAAUGUCAGGGAAUGCCCAGAUGCGCAACAGGGACAGCACAGAGGACCGUGCUUCUGGCUAGGGGUGGAUGACUUGCUCAACAUUGGCCUGGCCCGAGAGCUUGGCUUGGGUCUACAGACUGUGCCUGAUAUUCCUGGAAGGUGACCUCGCUGGUAAAUGUUUAACAGCUGGCUGUGGGGUAAGGGUGGGAGAGGGGGGUGGAGGAGAGGUCGUGGUUGGGAAAAGUGGCAGCAUUUGCCCAUUCGCAUGGCAGAGGCCCGCCAGAGCCCACUUCAAACCUCCAAUAUAACUGCCACUAAGCAGUUCACAGAAUUUCUGAUACAUAGCCGCCAGCUCCAGCCACACACCUUGGGGAAACUAUACCAAAGACCAUCAGACUGUGACACACAUGGACAACAGCAGUGUACGGCUUGCUGGAGGCUGAAAAAUCCAAGAUGGAGGAAUCAAAAGCUUCCUUAUUCAGCCUCCAUUCGGGGCCCUCACCCCUGCCAGCACAGCAGAGGUACCAAGCCCACGGAGGUCCCUCUUGCCAGAGGUGCUUGUGACUGAAGAGACCACAGCCAAGCGUGGCUUUUCAUAGAGCAGAAGACAGUUCAGCAGUGGGAACGUCUGGACAACUCUUCCAUUCAGAAGGACUUGAUGAAGGCAUCUGGGGUGCAGGUGAAUCCCUGCCAACUGUUCCCUUGGCUGAGUCUGCGGGGCAGAAGACAGCCACAACUUUUCUUUCAAAAUCAGAGCUGAGCUAACUGUGCCUCCGAAAAAUGCUGACACACAGCCCAAAAGCGAUCAGACAUAUCUCUUCCAUUUCUUUUUCUGCUGCUCUCCGUGAAAGCUGCUGGUGUUUGAUGAGCAGAAACAAGCCGCCCUGCUGAGAUUUUUCUGCUGGAGCCAAGUGUUUCUGCCAAGCGUGCUGAGCAGCCGCCAUGUUGAAGGGACAGCUCUGUGCAGUCAGCUCCAAGAGAGGCCUCCCCCUGCAUCUGUGGGACCUGCAGGAUUUCCCAUCAUUCCUUCUUUGCACAGCGGCCACAUUUAAGGGUGUGUGAGUGUGUACAUAUGUACACACACACACAUACACAUAUACCACGUACACACAUAAACAUGCACACAUCAUGAGACCCAAGGUUAAUAUGGAAGAUGGAGAGAUUGAUGUAUUCUAUGUUGCCCUGAAAUUUGCUUGGAAACACUCACCCGUAACACACCUUUAAGGAAAGUAACACACCUUUAAGGAAAGUAGUUCCCUUUUGAAUGGUGUCUUUCUUCUACUUCCUGGGUUUGUUUAGUUACUUCUGGUACAAGGAGAGCCUGCGUGUCCGAGUCUUACUCCACUCCCACAGCGGUCUGCCUUCCACCUGUCUUUCUGUGCUAGUCUUGGGGGUGGGGCGGGGGCAGGAGAUGCCAUUCGUUAUUUUGUUGUUUUGGGGGCUCACUAAGGGGCCUUCUGUGAUGUCAAAUCAAACCCUAAAGUUUGGGAGCUGAGGGGAGUCAGCCACAUCCUCCCUCUCCACCUUUGGCGGUACGGUAAUAACCGGUUUAAUUGCUCCCACAAUGAUCCCAGCAUGACCCAAGGAAAGCCCAAGAGAAAACACACACCUAAGAUGAUGUCCAAGUGGGUCCUUUCUGGGGCUUCCAGGGAACUUUUCUGUUUGUUUUGAGACUGGGUUUCUCUGUGUAACAGCUCUGGUUAUCCUGGAACUAGCUUCACAGAUCAGGUUGGCCUUCACUCAGAGAUCCCUCGUGAGUGCUGGGAUUAAAAGCAUGUGUCACUACACCUAGCCCGGGGUACCAUUUUGGUUGUUGUUAUUUUGUGUUGAGAGCCUCUGCUCCUACCAGAUGCGGUCUGCCAGGGCUCUAACUGCUCUGGCCUUGCUGGCUCUUCCCUUUCUUCCUCAGAUCUAUUUUUCAGCGGAACCGAGACACCCUGGAUUACCCAUGCAGUAUAAUUUUACCAUGCCCAGAGGAGCAGAGAUGAACAGGGGGAAAAUUACAGGGGUUUUUUGCCUGUUUCCUGGUGGAACUUAGGUUUUUCUUACCUUAGCAUCUAAAUGAAGACAAGAGGAUAAAGCCCAGGCCACAGGGCCACAGCACCACUGCUAAGCCUCCCAGAAGUUACCAUGGCUAAAAACUGGAAUUCCUCCCGGCUUCUCUCUUUAAAACACAACGUUUUACUAAAUGGGGUUGGUUGCCCGCUGUUAAGACAAUGGGCCUGUCCAAGCAUCUUGUUCAGGAAUCAAGGGAAGAAAGACACGGUGGGGCCCAAGAACAGACGAGCUGCUCCCAAGAAUGGAAAACAAAUGAGCCGAGGCAUAAAUGGAUGGAAAAACAAAAGGAAGAGAUUCCUUGAACAAUGCGGACUAUUGAAGGGGAGCCGCACGGACAGAGGCCCAGGUCGUGGGACCAGCUGGGGAGUGGUGGGACAGGGGAGUUGAGCUGUCAGCAUGCAACUCGGGCAGAGGAGGAGAAUCCCGCACGCCCUGUGCUCCCAUUUCCUUGCGGCUGUCCCCUGACCUGCUGCCUGAAAAAGGAGCAGGGAGGCUAGAUGCACGCACGCACGCACGCACGCACGCACGCACGCGGAGAGUUCCUGAACCAUCUGCCCCCUCUCCCAACCUGGCUUGGGUCCGCCGUGGACAAUCUACAGUGGUCUUUCUUCUCUGCCUGAGAACAUCCUGCAGGGAGGCCCACGGGUAAUUUCAGUGAAACCUACAGACUCCUGAGUAACUCGAUCUCAUUGUCCCUGUGGAUAAUGGAGCCUCAGGGAGCUGAGGACAAUAAUGGACCUGGGGGAUCUCCCUGGCCCCAAAGUGGAAUUGAGGUAUCUCUUUCUUUCUAGAACACAUGAUCACCUCACCCCCAGGGUACAUCCAUGAAUGUCAUGUUAGAAUCAUGAGGGAUUGGGGCACACGGGGAAGAUUUUUGUCCAGCUGGAGUCCCCACAAUUAUUUUCUUUUGUGGAGCACAGAUUCUUUUCGACUUACGAUGGAGUUCUGCCUUGUCAGUGGUCCAGGCUCAUCGUAAGUUGAACAUAUUUUAAGUUGAAAACAGACUGAGCGUAUCCAACCUGUGGAACAUCAUAGGUCACAGAAGUCUGGGGAGUUGAAGGGAGAGGCCAGAGAAAGGCGGGCAAAGGGUCACAUUUCCCAAGGUCAAGUGAGCCUUGUGGUUGUGCACCUGGAGAAAACACUGGCUGGGGAGUAGAUGCCACAAUGCCACGUGGUGAUGGCUGCAGAGGGACGGUCUCAGCAGUGUGACACAAGCCAGGACACCGAAGAGAAUCCCACUGAAGGCAAGAACACUUGCCUCUCACUGCAUAGGCCUGGCUGGCUGGUACUUGCUAUGCAGUCCAGGCUGGCUUUGAAUUUGCAGCAAUCCUCCAGCCUCAGCCUCUCUGGUACUAGGAUUGUGGGCAUGUGCCUCCAACCCUUUAUGAGAUAAAAUAAAUAAAUAUAAAUAAGUAAAUAAAACUAUUUGCACACAAUGUGUAGUGAGAAAAUCAGGGCAAAAUAAGGAUUUCUGUCUUCUCAAAUAUUUCUAUUUACCAAGAGAUUUUGCUCUUACUUCUAUUUCAUCUUUUUAGAGGUAUUUAUUUUUAUUCGUAUGGGCGUUUGGCCUACAUGCAUGUCUGUGCACCAUGUGUCUCGUGGGAACCAGGACUGGACUAGAGGGUUGUGUGAUAUUUUGUUUGUGUUCUGGCAAAUAAAACUUGCUUGGGUGGAGACAGCCACUAGUUAACCAUAGAGGCUGGGCAGUGGCGGCACACGCCUUUAAUCCCAACACCAGACAAAACGUUAAUCUAAUUAAUCUAAAUCAAUAAAGAUCCAGAAGUCAGAAAUGGGGUAAAAACUUGGAAGGUCAGAGAAUUGAAAGCAGCCGCUAGCUUCUCUCUACCUGUCUCAUUCCACAUCCUGAAGGGCUGAGAUCCUGUCUUUGUCCCUCCUUACCACUUCCUGUCUCCACCCUGGAGUGCUGGGAUUAAAGCCAUUCUUAUACAACCCACGAGCACCUUCCCAUGGGUGGCACCGCCCACCUUGAGCUGGUCUCCCUUCACGUCCAUCAUUAGUCAAGACAGCUCUUCAGGUGUGCCUGCAGGCCAGUCCUAUCGAGGAGGCAUUUUCUCAGGGAUCCCAAUGAAGUUCUCUCCUUACAAGACAUACAAGACAAGAAAGACCAACCAAGAAACUGAGCCCAGAUCCCAGGAAGCCAGAUCAUUUUCUCUCAGGUAAGGAUGAAGAAAAUGAAUAUUCAGUGAGUUAAAGGAAGAGCCCCAAACUGCACAGCCAAUCGGCGACAGGCCUUCCCUGAAAGACUCUUUGCUCAUGCAUGUCAUCAACCGAGAAGCUGACGAGAAACACCUGGAGGAUUUCUGCGAGAAACCAGAGGGCGGCUACGCGUAGGGCACAGCUACUUAUGCGUCAUUCUGUUAGGAGAGAACAGAAACCAUGCCUCGUCCCCUUUUGAAGACAUUAGAACAUGCUGGAAUAAGUGUUCUAGCAGAACCCUGUUGCCUGUUCCUGGGCCUGAAACCUUACACACACGGCAGUCCUGGGGGCUGCCCGCCAACCAGCCUUCUGUGUAUACACAGAGACUGAAAAUCUUGCAGCGUCCAACUGAUGUUUGAAGCUGGCCCUGUGUGCUCGCUCUGUGGUGAACUGCAGAGUCAAUGGGCCGGCUUUGAUGUUGAAACCUGCCCUGCCUCUUCGCUAGCUGGGUGGCCUCAGAGAAACUGCUCCACCAGCCAGAGCUCUGAGUCCUAGUGAACUCAUCUGUGAAAUGGAGCUAGCAGCGACCACUUGUCUGGGACCGGGACUGGGGAGUGUAAACUCCCUAGCUAGCAUGUGCUCUGCAGGAAGCCCCAGACCAACGAUUCCUGUUCUCUUCAUAUCUAGACAGAAGGAGAGCACAGUAUAACAUGUCGGGACAUAGCCUAGAAAUACCAAUGGCUUGCAACAAAUGCUUUAGUUCCCAUGCGUCUCCCCGGCUCACGGCUGACCUAUCCAUCCCCCUGCAGCUGAGAAUACCAAAUGCUGAUAGCUCACAGCUGUGCUUACCCUGAGUGUUGCUCUCUGCCACCAGACACCCAGACACGGUCUCGUAAGAGGUUACACCUGCCCCAAACUGGACAAGGAGAGACAAUCCCCUUUUUCUCGCUUUGGGGCAACUAGGAAGAACUACACCAGCCUGUAAGCCAGCUCCAGCCUCAGAUGACCGCUCUGCAGGCUGAUGUCCCCCUCUGUUGGCUUCAAUAUUCCUUCCAGGAGGCCUGUGGCCUCAGCCUGCUGGGUCAGCGUCUGGUUGAGAAUCCAAUCUAAGCCGUUCCUUAAGGGAAAUUGCCGAUUUCAAUUGUUCUUGACAUUUGAUCAUUUCUCCAAUAAGCGAUACACAUAAAAACUGUUGGUGAGGGCUUGGAAAGAUGACUCAGUGGUGAAGAACGUGUAAGCUUCUCUAGAGGACCCAAGUUCGGUUCCCAAUGUCCAUGUCAAGCAGCUCAUCACCUGUAACUCCAACUCCAUGUGACCCAAUACCCAAUUUCUGGUUUCUGGGGCAC